AGUGAACGCUGGCGGUAGGCCUAACACAUGCAAGUCGAACGGCAGCACAGUAAGAGCUUGCUCUUACGGGUGGCGAGUGGCGGACGGGUGAGGAAUACAUCGGAAUCUACUUUUUCGUGGGGGAUAACGUAGGGAAACUUACGCUAAUACCGCAUACGACCUACGGGUGAAAGCAGGGGAUCUUCGGACCUUGCGCGAUUGAAUGAGCCGAUGUCGGAUUAGCUAGUCGGCGGGGUAAAGGCCCACCAAGGCGACGAUCCGUAGCUGGUCUGAGAGGAUGAUCAGCCACACUGAAACUGAGACACGGUCCAGACUCCUACGGGAGGCAGCAGUGGGGAAUAUUGGACAAUGGGCGCAAGCCUGAUCCAGCCAUACCGCGUGGGUGAAGAAGGCCUUCGGGUUGUAAAGCCCUUUUGUUGGGAAAGAAAAGCAGCAGGUUAAUACCCCGCUGUUCUGACGGUACCCAAAGAAUAAGCACCGGCUAACUUCGUG
Molecule: ribosomal RNA, 492 nt
Filed under: uncultured bacterium
Lineage: Bacteria
Description: partial 16S ribosomal RNA
Rfam family: Bacterial small subunit ribosomal RNA
Source: RNAcentral